UAUCUCUGUAGAGUCUGCAUAUCAAUAAGCGGAGGAAAAGAAACUAACUAGGAUUCCCGUAGUAACGGCGAGUGAAGCGGGAAGAGCUCGAAUUUGAAAUCUUCAAGGUUUUACCUUGACGAAUUGUAGUUUAAAGAAGUGUUUUCUGUUGGAGUUUUGGUAAAAGUUCUUUGGAAUAGGACAUCAUAGAGGGUGAGAAUCCCGUAUUUGAUCAUUCCUUCCUAACUUUGUGAUACACUUUCAACGAGUCGGAUUGUUUGGGAAUGCAGUCCAAAAUGGGUGGUAAAUUUCAUCUAAAGCUAAAUAUUGGCGAGAGACCGAUAGCGAACAAGUACCGUGAGGGAAAGAUGAAAAGAACUUUGAAAAGAGAGUUAAACAGUACGUGAAAUUGUCAAAAGGGAAGCGUUUGACACCAGUGUUGUUUUCUCGAAAAUCAAUUAAAAAUGGUGGGAUUUUGUGUUGUAUUGACCUUUAAUCAAGCUUUCUGCACUUUUUUCUUGUCUUUUUUAAUGCACUUUUCGUUUAACAAGUCAACAUCAAUUUCUUUUGCUGUAAAAGGGUCAUUGGAAGGUGGCUUUCUUUUCGGAGAAAGUGUUUAUAGCCUUUGACUUCUGCAGUCGGAGAGAUUGAGGUCUGCAGCGUAGAUCCUUCGGGGUUAGAUACGUUUGUGCUAAGUUAUAGCUUUUCAUAGACAACUUGUUGACUAUGUUUAGUCUUGUAGCUUACUCGCUUAUGCUAUUUUACCUACGCUUAGGAUGUUGAGUAGCGACAUACGCAC
This 778-nucleotide ribosomal RNA is filed under the name uncultured Neocallimastigales. RNAcentral's name for it is "partial large subunit ribosomal RNA". It matches the Rfam family "Eukaryotic large subunit ribosomal RNA", at positions 24 to 649 of the family's 3401-position model. The record is from RNAcentral. Lineage: Eukaryota; Fungi; Neocallimastigomycota; Neocallimastigomycetes; Neocallimastigales.